AACGAACGCUGGCGGCAUGCCUAACACAUGCAAGUCGAACGAGACCUUCGGGUCUAGUGGCGCACGGGUGCGUAACGCGUGGGAACCUGCCCUUAGGUUCGGAAUAACUCCCCGAAAGGGGUGCUAAUACCGGAUAAUGUCUUCGGACCAAAGAUUUAUCGCCUUUGGAUGGGCCCGCGUUGGAUUAGCUAGUUGGUAGGGUAAAAGCCUACCAAGGCGACGAUCCAUAGCUGGUCUGAGAGGAUGAUCAGCCACACUGGGACUGAGACACGGCCCAGACCCCCACCGGAGGCAGCAGUGGGGAAUAUUGGACAAUGGGCGAAAGCCUGAUCCAGCAAUGCCGCGUGAGUGAUGAAGGCCUUAGGGUUGUAAAGCUCUUUUACCCGGGAUGAUAAUGACAGUACCGGGAGAAUAAGCGCCGGCUAACUCCGUG
RNAcentral lists this ribosomal RNA (433 nucleotides) under uncultured bacterium. RNAcentral describes it as "partial 16S ribosomal RNA". It matches the Rfam family "Bacterial small subunit ribosomal RNA", at positions 29 to 507 of the family's 1533-position model. The record is from RNAcentral.